CCCAGGAGUUGAGAAGCCUCGGAAGGGCUGGGCCUGGGUCAGAGGCACGAAGGGGCAGUGGCUCAGCCAAACCUUCUUUCACCUGACUGACGGAUGCUUCUCCUGCACCACAUGAGUACAGUUGCUGCAUCCUGGAGAACAGUGGGAUGGCUUGUCACCAAAUACUGGAGCAUCCAGAUCGCUGGUGGCUCCUGGUCCCCAAGACUGCCUGAGCCGCGGAGUAACCUCAGGGCGGAGGGCACUCCUGUCUCCAUAGUCUGUGGCGCCAGCCGCCUCUUUCUCAAGGAAGAGUCCAC
Heterocephalus glaber (naked mole-rat) is the source of this 296-nucleotide long non-coding RNA. Lineage: Eukaryota; Metazoa; Chordata; Mammalia; Rodentia; Bathyergidae. The record is from Ensembl.